Molecule: ribosomal RNA, 634 nt
Filed under: Microbaculum marinum
Lineage: Bacteria; Pseudomonadati; Pseudomonadota; Alphaproteobacteria; Hyphomicrobiales; Tepidamorphaceae
Description: bacterial SSU rRNA
Rfam family: Bacterial small subunit ribosomal RNA
Source: RNAcentral
GAACGCCCCUUCGGGGGAGUGGCAGACGGGUGAGUAACGCGUGGGAACCUACCCAAUGGUACGGAAUAACGCAGGGAAACUUGUGCUAAUACCGUAUAAGCCCUUCGGGGGAAAGAUUUAUCGCCAUUGGACGGGCCCGCGUUGGAUUAGCUAGUUGGUGGGGUAAAAGCUCACCAAGGCGACGAUCCAUAGCUGGUCUGAGAGGAUGAUCAGCCACACUGGGACUGAGACACGGCCCAGACUCCUACGGGAGGCAGCAGUGGGGAAUAUUGGACAAUGGGGGAAACCCUGAUCCAGCCAUGCCGCGUGGGUGAAGAAGGCCUUAGGGUUGUAAAUCCCUUUCAGCGGGGAAGAUAAUGACGGUACCCGCAGAAGAAGCCCCGGCUAACUCCGUGCCAGCAGCCGCGGUAAUACGGAGGGGGCUAGCGUUGUUCGGAAUUACUGGGCGUAAAGCGCACGUAGGCGGACUGUUUAGUCAGAGGUGAAAUCCCGGGGCUCAACCUCGGAAUUGCCUUUGAUACUGGCAGUCUUGAGUUCGAGAGAGGUGAGUGGAAUUCCGAGUGUAGAGGUGAAAUUCGUAGAUAUUCGGAGGAACACCAGUGGCGAAGGCGGCUCACUGGCUCGAUACUGACGC